RNAcentral lists this non-coding RNA (26 nucleotides) under Cricetulus griseus (Chinese hamster). The record is from RNAcentral. Lineage: Eukaryota; Metazoa; Chordata; Mammalia; Rodentia; Cricetidae.
AGGUUGGACUUUGGGGGGAUCCUCUG